Molecule: long non-coding RNA, 449 nt
Organism: Hevea brasiliensis (rubber tree)
Lineage: Eukaryota; Viridiplantae; Streptophyta; Magnoliopsida; Malpighiales; Euphorbiaceae
Exons: 2
Source: RefSeq, a predicted model, not a curated record
GGGAGUUGUUCAUCUGCUGUUAGCAUCUGUAGCGCCUUUGCCAUUGUUGGUCGAAGUGAUGCUAUCUCUUGUGUACAUAGAAGUCCUACAUGCACUACUCUGAGGACAUCAUUCUUCACGUUGCUGUUAUGGUGGUGGUGCAACAUCAGAUGAUUUGACUGAAGAAAGACAGGUUAAGGUUAGAUUCCUGGAACUUACAAGUGUGACUAGGCUGUCUGUAUAUUCCGAGGUUUUGCUCCUGUUGUUCUGCCUCCCUGUGACAAUCUCCAACAAAAGCACACCAAAGCUGUAGACAUCUGCCUUUUCUGUUAACUGCCCAUGAGCCAGGUACUCUGGUGCCAUGUAUCCACUGCAGAUUUAUAAAAUUGAAAUCAUUGCUCUUUCAUAAUAUCAUGUUCAUAUAUGAAUUUCAUAUUCAAUCAUUUUAUUACAAGAUUAUUGAGCUUAAA